AUGGUAGAGCCACAAUGGCUUGGAGAGUAUGCCUUUUGUUCACUAAACAAAAGGUCUCGGGUUGGCCGACCAAGAUAUUUGAGAUUAUUUUUCAGUCUGGUAUAUCUUGUCAAUGGGACAUUACAAAGGGACGUUACGUGUAUUCAAUUGGCAGUACGAUAAAGACCCAAUGGCUGUAAAAACGAGAAAGCAGAACAAACCGUUGCGCUGCUAUCGGGGAAAAAUUCCCUCAUAGCAGACUGCACGGCGAAUUUCAUUUUUCAUUAGCCCAGCUGCUGCAGAAAAGUAGGAUAAUAAACCACAUUGUACUUCCCUUAAUAAAUGACACGUGACAUCAGGUGUUCUAGAAAGUAAACAUACCAAGAAUUAAUCAUUCAUUCUGCCGUAUUCCCAAAGCUGAAAUGAUGAAUUGAUUAGACCUUCAUUUUUUUCUGUAUUAAAAGAGCUAACAAAAUAUGUGAGAAAAUCCUAGUUUAAUUGCUACUAGCGUAAUCUGACAUCAAAUUGAAGUAUGCAAAUGUGCCGGAAAUCAUGUCCGAGUGUAAGGAGUCCAUUCAUUGGUUGUAAUACGUGGAUGUGAAAGACUGUAUGUGACUUCUGGCGUUGAAGAGCUGUUGUUAGUCUGCUUGAGGUUCAUGAUUAUGGAAAAUCCGCCGGCUUGUCUUCGAUAACAAUAUUCCGCUUGUGCAAUACGUAUUAAAAAGACCCUUCAUUCUCACGUUUCGCGUUAAAUAGCUGAGUUUGAGGAAAUUUGACGACGGGAAAAUAAAGGAAAAGCAUGAAUUUAACUACCCAUGACCAAAACCCUAGACACGUACAAGAAACUAAUAGCCUUUAUAUGCUGGUAGAAAUUCACCCAGUCUGAAUAGUCGCUAGAAAACAUUGGAUAGAUAUGAUGCUACUCUCAACGGAUUUUAUUCAACGUGAAUUAACUAUGAAUUCUUCUUGAUUACGUUUUAAAAUUUAAAUUUAAGAUGUGUUUUCAAACGUGACUUGGCGAUGUCUAAGAGAUGUUUUAUUCUUUGAUGUCUAAGGGUAGAGAAUUCCAGAGAAAAUGCGCUGCAAAGUGAAAAGAUCGUUUCGUCUGUUGAAGUUUGACAGCAGGAAUAAUGGCUUGUUCUGUGAUUUUUAGGUCCUACUGGAUUCAUACGGUGGAAGCGGGUUUUCGACCUUAUAAGUGGCAAGUUUGUAAGUGUUAAGAUUGUAUAAUCUUGCGAAUUUUUUUUAAGCAUUGAAUUAGAUUUUUAUUAUAAAUUUCGGGACAUAAUUUAAACAUUGAAUUAGAUUUUUAUUAUAAAUUUCGGGACAUAAUGGGGUGUAACAUUUUCCUUAUAAUUUAGUUUUUAAUUUUGAAUUACGAUGCGUCAAGGGAUGUAACAUUUUAAAUGUAUAGCAAAGUUUAAUUUAUAAUGCAUCGAAGUGAUAACCAAACAUUUAGCAGAUGUGGGUUCUGUAUAGCUUCUAAUGUAUUUUAAAAUGAUGGCUUGUAAAUACAUGCAUAAUAAAUAAUCUUUGUAUGGCAAUUAAAAGUAAGAUUUUAAACAACACCUUCAGGACAGGAUGCUGUGUAAUAUUUUUGUAUAUGAUGGUGCAUAAUAUUUUGGUAUAUGAUGGGGCGUAAUAUUUGAAUGUCCUUCGUGAAAUGACACAGAUUGUAACUUAGGAAGUGUAGUAAUAUUUUAAGUGUAUUUCAUAUUAAUUUUAUGAUAAUUUUGUAUAUUUAUAUCGCAAUAAUCCAUCCACCAUUACAUGCACAGGGCGCCAAACAUGUAUAAUAAUAUGUUUUUGUUUAAUAAAUAUAUUAUCUGUU
Molecule: long non-coding RNA, 1810 nt
Organism: Patella vulgata (common limpet)
Lineage: Eukaryota; Metazoa; Mollusca; Gastropoda; Patellidae
Exons: 3
Source: RefSeq, a predicted model, not a curated record